This 440-nucleotide ribosomal RNA is filed under the name uncultured bacterium. Its description in RNAcentral is "partial 16S ribosomal RNA". It matches the Rfam family "Bacterial small subunit ribosomal RNA", at positions 338 to 795 of the family's 1533-position model. The record is from RNAcentral.
CCUACGUGAGGCUGCAGUGGGGAAUAUUGCACAAUGGGGGAAACCCUGAUGCAGCGACGCCGCGUGAGCGAUGAAGUAUUUCGGUAUGUAAAGCUCUAUCAGCAGGGAAGAAAAUGACGGUACCUGACUAAGAAGCCCCGGCUAAUUCCGUGCCAGCAGCCGCGGUAAUACGUAGGGGGCAAGCGUUAUCCGGAUUUACUGGGUGUAAAGGGAGCGUAGACGGCGGUGCAAGCCAGAUGUGAAAGCCCGGGGCUCAACCCCGGGACUGCAGUUGGAACUGUGCUUCUUGAGUGUCGGAGAGGCAGGCGGAAUUCCUAGUGUAGCGGUGAAAUGCGUAGAUAUUAGGAGGAACACCAGUGGCGAAGGCGGCCUGCUGGACGAUGACUGACGGUGAGGCUCGAAAGCGUGGGGAGCAAACAGGAUUAGAUACCCGGGUAGUC